GUGCUCGCUUCAACAGCACAUUUACUACAAUUAGAAUGAUCUAGAGAGGCUGAGUGUGGCCCCUGUACAAAGAUGACCUGUAAAUUCAUGAAGCAUUCUAUAUUAAA
Vulpes vulpes (red fox) is the source of this 107-nucleotide small nuclear RNA. NCBI's taxonomy places the organism in Eukaryota, Metazoa, Chordata, Mammalia, Carnivora, Canidae. The record is from Ensembl.